This 493-nucleotide ribosomal RNA is filed under the name uncultured bacterium. RNAcentral's name for it is "partial 16S ribosomal RNA". It matches the Rfam family "Bacterial small subunit ribosomal RNA", at positions 28 to 506 of the family's 1533-position model. The record is from RNAcentral.
GACGAACGCUGGCGGCGUGCUUAACACAUGCAAGUCGAACGGAAAGGCCUGCUUUCCCUUGUGGAUUGCGGGUACUCGAGUGGCGAACGGGUGAGUAACACGUGAGUGAUCUGCCCCCAACUUGGGUAUAAGCCUGGGAAACUGGGUCUAAUUCCCGAUAGGACUGCAGGGUGGUGCCUGUGGUGGAAAACGAUUUUCUAGUGGUUGGGGAUGAGCUCGCGGCCUAUCAGCUUGUUGGUGGGGUAAUGGCCUACCAAGGCGGCGACGGGUAGCCGGCCUGGGAGGGUGGGCGGACAAUUUGGGACUGGGAUACGGCCCAGACCCCUACGGGAGGCAGCAGUGGGGAAUAGUGCACAAUGGGCGGAAGCCUGAUGCAGCGACGCCGCGUGGGGGAUGACGGCCUUGGGGGUGUAAACUCCUUUCGACCGCGAGGAAGCCACCUGGUUGGAAGGGUGGUGGCGGUAGUGGUGGAAGAAGCACCGGCUAACUACGU